UACGUAGGUGGCGAGCGUUGUCCGGAUUUACUGGGCGUAAAGGGAGCGUAGGCGGACUUUUAAGUGAGAUGUGAAAUACCCGGGCUCAACUUGGGUGCUGCAUUUCAAACUGGAAGUCUAGAGUGCAGGAGAGGAGAAUGGAAUUCCUAGUGUAGCGGCGAAAUGCGUAGAGAUUAGGAAGAACACCAGUGGCGAAGGCGAUUCUCUGGACUGUAACUGACGCUGAGGCUCGAAAGCGUGGCGAGCAAACAGGAUUAGAUA
RNAcentral lists this ribosomal RNA (261 nucleotides) under uncultured prokaryote. RNAcentral describes it as "partial 16S ribosomal RNA". It matches the Rfam family "Bacterial small subunit ribosomal RNA", at positions 524 to 784 of the family's 1533-position model. The record is from RNAcentral.